RNAcentral lists this ribosomal RNA (100 nucleotides) under uncultured bacterium. Its description in RNAcentral is "partial 16S ribosomal RNA". It matches the Rfam family "Bacterial small subunit ribosomal RNA", at positions 1384 to 1482 of the family's 1533-position model. The record is from RNAcentral.
UACACACCGCCCGUCACACCAUGGAGUUGGUUCGACCUUAAGCCGGUGCGCGAACUCGCAAGAGACGCAGCCGACCACGGUCGGGUUAGCGACUGGGGUG